UGCUGGACCAUAUCGGCACAGACUGAACAUAGUCGAAGACCCACACUACCCAUGGUGCCCCACACACACCAGAACACCUCCUCCUCCACUGCCCAAGAUUCCACUCCCUCCACACCACCCUCAAAGCAUCCUUAACCAGUCUCCGUAUUCACAGGCCAGCCCUGGAGGACCUGCUGGGCAGCGACGCCCUCAGCCCCAACAUCCAAGCCUUCCAAGUGUACCUUCCUGCAGAAGGCGGGGCGGCAACUCGACAGGAUCUAACCCACUCUGGUGACAGAACGACAAACAAAAGACUGAUACCAACCACCACUGACGGGGCUGUGGAGGCUGUGGCCCCACAGCCCCAUAAAACACCCAAGAAGAAGAAGAAGAAGGUGAUGCCCCGGAGGAUAUGGACCCCGCCAGCCACCCAGCACCCCUUCCCUCCCUCCUCCUACUGGUGACGGGAGAAGACAGGAGGAUGAGGAGGAGAGAAGAAGGAGGAGGAGGAGGAGGAGGGUUAGUGCCUGAUCCAGCAAGGUGAUUCACUGUCACCUGUCACUGUCCGUCCACCCUCAGGAAAGCCCUUUGAGAUCCAGGUGCCUCGAUCCUUGGCCAGCUUGAAGAGUUCUGCGUCCAGGCCGAGACGGUGAACCUGGUGACUGUCCAGGAGGCAGACAGGGACAGACAGGGACGCAGUUUGGAGGCUGG
Molecule: long non-coding RNA, 690 nt
Organism: Eriocheir sinensis (Chinese mitten crab)
Lineage: Eukaryota; Metazoa; Arthropoda; Malacostraca; Decapoda; Varunidae
Exons: 3
Source: RefSeq, a predicted model, not a curated record